This is a long non-coding RNA of Saccostrea echinata, 215 nucleotides long. RefSeq lists it as uncharacterized. The record is from RefSeq and is a predicted model, not a curated record. Lineage: Eukaryota; Metazoa; Mollusca; Bivalvia; Ostreida; Ostreidae. The transcript is spliced from 3 exons.
AUGUAUACAUAUUUCGUGAUAUCCAUAUUCUUUUCAGUAUCAUUUGUUCAUUGCUGCAGUGAUGGAUUCGUUCAGUACCACGAUAAAUGCUAUUUUUUCAGUCACACAACAUCUACCUGGGCCGAAGCAGGGGCUACCUGCCAACAGUUUCAUACAAAGUUAGCUGAACCAAGGACAGACGGAGAAUCUCAGUUUCUAAUCAGUCACAGUCAAAG